Molecule: ribosomal RNA, 241 nt
Filed under: uncultured bacterium
Lineage: Bacteria
Description: partial 16S ribosomal RNA
Rfam family: Bacterial small subunit ribosomal RNA
Source: RNAcentral
UGGGGAAUAUUGGACAAUGGGGGCAACCCUGAUCCAGCAAUGCCGCGUGUGUGAAGAAGGUCUUCGGAUUGUAAAGCACUUUCGACGGGGACGAUGAUGACGGUACCCGUAGAAGAAGCCCCGGCUAACUUCGUGCCAGCAGCCGCGGUAAUACGAAGGGGGCUAGCGUUGCUCGGAAUGACUGGGCGUAAAGGGCGUGUAGGCGGUUUACACAGUCAGGAUGUGAAAUCCCCGGGCUUAA